UUUUGCUAGAGCUUUAUUAUGACAUCACAAUUGCCGACUUUUGCUAAAUAGAAGACGCAAUUUGAUUUUGUCUUCAUAUCGUCAUUACUUCCUUCAGCAGACACCAACAUCGGAUUUAUGGAUUCUCUUGUCUAUAAUCCCUCAGCAUUGAGAUAUUUCACCGACUUUUAAGAUAGUCAUGCUGGGACACCGCCUUGAGGGGUAUUUAGUCGAACGAAUUGACCGCAUUACUUUUCUCUAAAGACAGACAAAAGGCCAACAUUUUCGAGAGGAAGGGCAAUCGAUUACAUCAACCCCAGUAAUUGACUGGUACUUUACUUCAUCGACCUAAAAAGGAUGACCGUGGCAAGAUUUAAUUUCAUAACAUAAAGACUUGGAAGAAAUAAAAUCAUUUGACUGCCGCCAUGCUGGGGCACCGCCUUUAAUCGAGCAAAUUGAUCCAAGGACUUAUUCUAUCGGUUUCUUUUGCCGAAUUGCUAACACAUGAGCAUCGGUUGUCAAGUGAUGUUGGGGGGACAAAUACAGACACAAAUAUAUACAUAUAUAUAUACAUAUAUAUGUUUGUAUACGACGGGCUUCUUUCAGUUUCCGUCUACCAAAUCCACUCACAAGGCUCUGGCCGGCCCGAAGCUAUAGUAGAAAACACUUGCCUAACGUGCCACGCAGUGGGACUGAACCCAGAACUUGUGGUUGGUAAGCAAGCUACUUACCACACAGCCACUCCUGCGUCUAUCAUUUAACUUCGGUAGUAGUCGAAUAAUAUUCUUAAGGCCACAAUUUGUUCGCACGCACCAUCUUUCAGAACUUGUCGCUAAUUCAGUUCGUAACCAAAUUAAAAACUUGACACUUUUGAAGAGGACGAGUCGCUAGCAACAUUUUGGCAUAAGAAUUUCAGGUUUGAUCCAGUAGAAAAAAAAUUACAUCAAAAUUUGUAGCAACAUUAUAGGAGAGUAAAUAACGCCACUAAUCAAGUUUAGAUGUAAACUUCUUUUUUAUUUUAUUCGUAAAAUAUAUUUAUCUUAGCUUCAAUGAGAGAAA
This is a long non-coding RNA of Octopus bimaculoides (California two-spot octopus), 1038 nucleotides long. RefSeq lists it as uncharacterized. The record is from RefSeq and is a predicted model, not a curated record. NCBI's taxonomy places the organism in Eukaryota, Metazoa, Mollusca, Cephalopoda, Octopoda, Octopodidae.